Molecule: ribosomal RNA, 645 nt
Filed under: Halomonas sp. EGU941
Lineage: Bacteria; Pseudomonadati; Pseudomonadota; Gammaproteobacteria; Oceanospirillales; Halomonadaceae
Description: bacterial SSU rRNA
Rfam family: Bacterial small subunit ribosomal RNA
Source: RNAcentral
UGCGAAAGCGUGGGUAGCAAACAGGAUUAGAUACCCUGGUAGUCCCACGCCGUAAACGAUGUCGACCAGCCGUUGGGUGCCUAGCGCACUUUGUGGCGAAGUUAACGCGAUAAGUCGACCGCCUGGGGAGUACGGCCGCAAGGUUAAAACUCAAAUGAAUUGACGGGGGCCCGCACAAGCGGUGGAGCAUGUGGUUUAAUUCGAUGCAACGCGAAGAACCUUACCUACUCUUGACAUCCUGCGAAUUUGGUAGAGAUACCUUAGUGCCUUCGGGAACGCAGAGACAGGUGCUGCAUGGCUGUCGUCAGCUCGUGUUGUGAAAUGUUGGGUUAAGUCCCGUAACGAGCGCAACCCUUGUCCUUAUUUGCCAGCGCGUAAUGGCGGGAACUCUAAGGAGACUGCCGGUGACAAACCGGAGGAAGGUGGGGACGACGUCAAGUCAUCAUGGCCCUUACGAGUAGGGCUACACACGUGCUACAAUGGUCGGUACAAAGGGUUGCCAACUCGCGAGAGUGAGCCAAUCCCGAAAAGCCGAUCUCAGUCCGGAUCGGAGUCUGCAACUCGACUCCGUGAAGUCGGAAUCGCUAGUAAUCGUGGAUCAGAAUGCCACGGUGAAUACGUUCCCGGGCCUUGUACACACCGCCA